GGCCACCUCCAAGAAGGCCCUCUCAUCUAAGAAGGCGAAGCAAAGGGAGCUAGGCCAGUUUGCCUCCAAGUCAAGUUGGGCUUCUGCCCCCUCUACGGAGCCUGAGAAGAAGCCACUGUCGCCUAUCAAGGGUAAGAACGCCUCUUUCUCCAUCGAGCAGAUCCCCAAUGCGAUCUGCGAGCACUGCAUUGAGGAGUUCAAGACUUCGGCGGC
Molecule: long non-coding RNA, 213 nt
Filed under: Elaeis guineensis (African oil palm)
Lineage: Eukaryota; Viridiplantae; Streptophyta; Magnoliopsida; Arecales; Arecaceae
Description: long non-coding RNA (EGUI_LNC054690)
Source: RNAcentral